AACGUCGAGAGAGGUUCGUUCGCCCUUCGACGACGCCAGGAGGUUUGUUCUCGGCCUGCGACUAUGAGAGGUUCAUUCGGCCUGAGAUUGAGAGGAGAGGAGAGAACCCAGCGAAAAUGAAAGCAAAUAAUUCCGUGUAGAGCAGCUUGUUUGCACAACUCUUUCAUGUGUAGCUGCAAUGCGUAAGAACAACCAACUGUCAAACGAAAUUCUCACGGGGUCAAUGUGAAAGCCUGAGAUUCCACCAACAAUAAUUUCUACUGGGCCUCCUUGAUCUGUUGCAAAGAUCCUUGCAGAUGCGUCACCCAAUUUUCAAAGUCUUGUUCAGUUGCCUCUCAUCUUUGAUUGUAAAAACUUUCGAUGGGGGAUGUUCUGAAGUCGGAUUGUCAUGCCCGUUUCGCUGGAAGAGUACGGGAUAGCACAGAUGUACAUAGUGACGAAGAUGCAGCAAAAGAACACGACUAGUACUGAAGGGAUUGAAGUAUUAGAGAGCAGACCCUUUGAAGAUAAUGUGUAUGGAACGGGUCAAUACACUAGUUUAUCGUCUGCAAAGCAAAGUUCCUUCUUGGCUUACGAAAGUUGCACCAGCUCAUGCUCUCGUCGAAGCCGUUGGAACGCAUACCCAAGAUGCAAAUCAGUACUCAAGAUCUCUCGUAAAUGGACUCAUCACAUCACAACAUUGUUGUUCUUUGGGUUUGGGCUGUGGUCUUUAUGGGAUGGAUUUACCGAGGAAGGGGAGGCUGAAGAGUUGGCCGAGGUCGGAGCAAAAUUGGUUGCUGAUUGGAAGGCUGACACAGAGACCACGAGAAGAAUAAUAAGAUACGGCUUAUUACAAUCUUAUAUAUUUCAAUGGCCUAAACCGAUUUCCCCACUCUUGCUUCCAUGUUUUCAUUUUAGUGACUGCUGCUAUUGCCAUCUGUUAUUUCACUAAAAAAUGGAAACCAUCUAUUGGAAAUGUUCAGAAGAUAGCUACUAUACUCUUUACAUGCGUGUUUAGACUUCAGACAUCUUUAAUUUUGGCACUCUGUUUUGACUAUAGGAUUAUGCAUUAGAUGCCUCUUGAACUUACAGGUGAGCAGAUAUAUCAUGAGUCAUGUUUGGAUAAUUUAUAAGCUUUUUUUCAUCGUUCCUUGCAUUGCAUCUAUGAUUUGAAAAAGUUGAAACGGCCAUUUCUCUCACAAUUCUUUUCUCCAAUCUUUAUGAAGGUUAUACUCCUAUGGCUUAUUAUAAUAAAAACAAAGCAGGGAUAACAAACGCCUAACCAGUUUCAUGAUGUUCAUACUGCAGGCAUUUUCUAUUGUGUAUUUUCGAUAUGAUGGGGCAACAAGAGCCAGGCAUCGAACAAUACGGAUGUUCUGACUUCAUGCAAAAGAUCAGAAGAGUAAUUAAUUUGGUGGGGUGAUAUGGCUAGUUGCUGCUUGGGCUGAGCAGCAACAAUGUCAGUUUGCUAUCUUCAAGUCGCCACCUUUCUUGAUAAAAGUGAUAUGUAGGACUGUGGGUGCAACUGUUGAUGAAAAGUCCCACUUAAAUAGACAUGUGGAACUUAGUAGCUGUUUAUUUUAGUGAUAGUAGAGUCUUCAAAUAACUUAUAAUAGUGAUAUUUAUCUAUUAUAUAAUUAGUAGGUCAGCUUAUACUUGAUAUGAUCAGUAUAAUGCACCACCCAGUAUAAAAAUAUAUAUGAGCUUGGUUGAA
This is an RNA transcript of Carya illinoinensis, 1693 nucleotides long. It is a transcript of the gene named phosphatidylinositol transfer protein 2-like, with no coding region annotated. The transcript has 12 exons. The record is from RefSeq and is a predicted model, not a curated record. NCBI's taxonomy places the organism in Eukaryota, Viridiplantae, Streptophyta, Magnoliopsida, Fagales, Juglandaceae.